GGUCCGUUGGCCCAAUGGUAAGGCGUCUGACUACGACUAACAAGAGUUAAUCAGGAGAUUCUGGGUUCGACCCCCAGGCGGACCU
RNAcentral lists this transfer RNA (85 nucleotides) under Annulohypoxylon moriforme. Its description in RNAcentral is "tRNA-Arg". It matches the Rfam family "tRNA". From Rfam's summary of the family: Transfer RNA (tRNA) molecules are approximately 80 nucleotides in length. The record is from RNAcentral. Lineage: Eukaryota; Fungi; Ascomycota; Sordariomycetes; Xylariales; Hypoxylaceae.